CGCCUCUGGCUAAUAAAUCAAGAGGUCCUGCCUGCCCGGUGAUCACUAAGAUUAAACGGCUGCGGUACUCUGACCGUGCAAAGGUAGCAUAAUCAUUUGCCUGUUAAUUCCAGGCUGGAAUCAACGGCUAGACGAAGAAAAUUCUGUCUCUCUUUAUAUAUUUUGAAUUUAGUUUCUUGGUGAAGAAACCAGGAUAAAAUAGUGGGACGAGAAGACCCUAUUGAGCUUUAAUCUUCUUCUAUAAAUAAAGAUAAAAAAAGAUUUUAGUUGGGGCAACUGAUUUUUUAUUAAGACAAAAUUUUUAAAUAAAUGAAUUAAAUCUAAAAUGACCCAUAAUUAGUUUAUGAUAAAAAGAAAAAGUUACCAUAGGGAUAACAGCGUAAUUUUCUUUGAGAGUACAUAUUGACAAGAAAGUUUGCGACCUCGAUGUUGGAUCAAGAUAUCCUGAAGGUGCAGCCGCUUUCAAAGGUGGGUUUGUUCAACCCAUAAAAUCUU
RNAcentral lists this ribosomal RNA (495 nucleotides) under Ophiuroidea sp. EAC01. Its description in RNAcentral is "partial 16S ribosomal RNA". It matches the Rfam family "Bacterial large subunit ribosomal RNA", at positions 1816 to 2597 of the family's 2925-position model. The record is from RNAcentral. Lineage: Eukaryota; Metazoa; Echinodermata; Ophiuroidea.